GACGAACGCUGGCGGCGUGCCUAACACAUGCAAGUCGAGCGAGAGGAGUUCUUCGGAACGAAUCUAGCGGCGGACGGGUGAGUAACACGUGGGCAACCUGCCUUAUAGAGGGGAAUAGCCUUCCGAAAGGAAGAUUAAUACCGCAUAACAUUGCAUUUUCGCAUGAAGAAGCAAUUAAAGGAGCAAUCCGCUAUAAGAUGGGCCCGCGGCGCAUUAGCUAGUUGGUGAGGUAACGGCUCACCAAGGCGACGAUGCGUAGCCGACCUGAGAGGGUGAUCGGCCACAUUGGGACUGAGACACGGCCCAGACUCCUACGGGUGGCAG
RNAcentral lists this ribosomal RNA (324 nucleotides) under uncultured Bacillota bacterium. RNAcentral describes it as "bacterial SSU rRNA". It matches the Rfam family "Bacterial small subunit ribosomal RNA", at positions 28 to 351 of the family's 1533-position model. The record is from RNAcentral. Lineage: Bacteria; Bacillati; Bacillota.